This 253-nucleotide ribosomal RNA is filed under the name uncultured bacterium. RNAcentral describes it as "partial 16S ribosomal RNA". It matches the Rfam family "Bacterial small subunit ribosomal RNA", at positions 524 to 776 of the family's 1533-position model. The record is from RNAcentral.
GACGUAGGGCGCGAGCGUUGUCCGGAUUUAUUGGGCGUAAAGAGCUCGUAGGCGGCUUGUCGCGUCGUUCGUGAAAACCCGGGGCUCAACUCCGGGCUUGCGGGCGAUACGGGCAGGCUAGAGUUCGGUAGGGGAGACUGGAAUUCCUGGUGUAGCGGUGAAAUGCGCAGAUAUCAGGAAGAACACCCGUGGCGAAGGCGGCUCUCUGGGACGGUACUGACGCUGAGACGCGAAAGCGUGGGGAGCGAACAGG